UUCACUGUUCCCUGGGAUUGGCUUUGGGCUUUUCCUGCGCAGCUUAGGUGGAGGGCGAAGAAGGCCUCCUUCCGGGGGGGCUCGAGCCAUCAGUGAGAUACCACUCUGGAAGAGCUAGAAUUCUAACCUUGUGCCAGGACCUACGGGCCAAGGGACAGUUUCAGGUAGACAAUUUCUAUGGGGCGUAGGCCUCCCAAAAGGUAACGGAGGCGUGCAAAGGUUUCCUCGGGCCAGAAGGAGAUUGGCCCUCGAGUGCAAGGGCAGAAGGGAACUUGACUGCAAGACCCACUCGUCGAGCAGGGUAUAUUGAAAAUCAAACAAAAUUGUAUGCAUUCCACAGAACAAA
This 346-nucleotide non-coding RNA is filed under the name Lupinus angustifolius (narrow-leaved blue lupine). RNAcentral describes it as "Bacterial large subunit ribosomal RNA". It matches the Rfam family "Bacterial large subunit ribosomal RNA", at positions 2100 to 2461 of the family's 2925-position model. The record is from Rfam by way of RNAcentral. Lineage: Eukaryota; Viridiplantae; Streptophyta; Magnoliopsida; Fabales; Fabaceae.